UGUCAUAUUCUUCAAUAAUGCUAGGUACCCUACCCCAGGAAAAAGGAAGAAAAAAAUGUGUGAAUAAAAGAUAAAGCUGCGGUACCUAUUUUUUUUCCAUCCGGUGUUUAAAACUUGAUUGGAUCUUGUACUGUAAUGCUCAUUUAGGUUGACGCUUUCAAUAGAAUUUUCUCCAUAUUCAGGCUCGAACCCGAAACCUCUGAUUUGAUGAUAAGCUGCGUUAGUAUUGGUGUAAGUUGUUGAUAACUUAAGCAGAGAUCGAAAAUACAGAAGCACAAUACUAAUAUUCACUUGUUCAUCAUCUUGUUGAUAAUUGUUGGGUUAACUUUGAGCUCAUUUUCAAGGCAUGAAGAUAAUUAUUCGGAGAAAUAUGCAGUGAUAUUUGACGCUGGAAGCACUGGUAGCAGAGUUCAAGUCUUCCGUUUUAACUCAAAUAUGGGCCUCCUCAAUAUUGCCAAUGAUCUUGAGCUCUUCUUGCCGAUAAAACUAGGUCUGAGUUCAUAUGCAGAUGAUCCAAAGGCUGCUGCAAAUUCUCUAAAGCCCCUUCUUGAGAAAGCUGAAGCUGUUGUUUCUAAGAAUUGACAGUCUCAAACCCCUCUUAAAAUUGGGGCAACUGCAGGGCUGAGGUUGUUAAAGGGUGAUUCAUCCCAAAAGAUUCUGCAAGCAGUACAUUUUUUACCCUUUAUUUCCCUUCAUUAAUCGGAAAAUUGAUCUUAAUUAUUGUAUUAUUUGUUAAUCCUUCAUAGCACAAAUUAAUCUAACUAGUUUAAUUAUUAUUUUUUUCUUAUUAUCAUUCCUUGAUUAUGUUGGGAUAUAUAAUAUUAACCAUGGAAUAUAUACUAUUAAUCAUGAGUUUGGAUAUAGUAUUUAUCAUAGAACAAUUGUUUAUUCAAUUUUAAUAAAAGCUUUAAUAGAUCAUA
Molecule: long non-coding RNA, 920 nt
Organism: Solanum dulcamara
Lineage: Eukaryota; Viridiplantae; Streptophyta; Magnoliopsida; Solanales; Solanaceae
Exons: 4
Source: RefSeq, a predicted model, not a curated record